Molecule: ribosomal RNA, 460 nt
Filed under: uncultured bacterium
Lineage: Bacteria
Description: partial 16S ribosomal RNA
Rfam family: Bacterial small subunit ribosomal RNA
Source: RNAcentral
CCUACGGGUGGCAGCAGUGAGGCAUAUUUGUCAAUGGGCGCGAGCCUGAACCAGCCAAUUAGCGUGAAGGAUGCCUUCCCUACGGGUUGUACACUUCUUUUAUCAAGGAAUAAAGUGCGGCACGUUUUCCUUUUUGUAUUUACUUUAUUAAUAAGUAUCGGCUAACUCCGUGCCAGCAGCCGCGUUAAUACGGAGGAUCCGAGCGUUAUCCGGAUUUAUUGGGGUUAAAGGGAGCGUAUAUGGGUUGUUAAGUCCGUUGUGAAAGUUAGAGGCUCAACCGUAAGAUUGCAAUUGAUACUGGCAGUCGUGAGUACAGUUGAGGUAGGCGGAAUUCGUGGUGUAGCGGUGAAAUGCUUAGAUAUCACGAAGAACUCCGAUUGCGAAGGCAGCUUACUAAACUGCCACUGACAUUGAUGCUCGAAAGUGUGGGUAUCAAACAGGAUUAGAUACCCUAGUAGUC